GGGCCCGCACAAGCGGUGGAGCAUGUGGUUUAAUUCGAUGAUACGCGAGGAACCUUACCAGGGCUUAAAUGUAGGUUGCAUGAUCUAGAGAUAGAUCUUUCUUCGGACUACCUACAAGGUGCUGCAUGGUUGUCGUCAGCUCGUGCCGUGAGGUGUCAGGUUAAGUCCCAUAACGAGCGCAACCCCUAUCCUUAGUUGCCAGCGAGUAAUGUCGGGGACUCUAAGGAAACUGCCUGCGCAAGCAGUGAGGAAGGUGGGGAUGACGUCAAAUCAUCACGGCCCUUACGUCCUGGGCUACACACGUGCUACAAUGGCCGGUACAGAGAGCAGCCACUACGCGAGUAGGAGCGAA
Molecule: ribosomal RNA, 352 nt
Filed under: uncultured bacterium
Lineage: Bacteria
Description: bacterial SSU rRNA
Rfam family: Bacterial small subunit ribosomal RNA
Source: RNAcentral